GCCCACUUAGUAUAGUGGUUAGUACUCCACGUUGUGGCCGUGGCGACGCUGGUUCGAUUCCAGCAGUGGGCA
Caenorhabditis briggsae is the source of this 72-nucleotide transfer RNA. It matches the Rfam family "tRNA". From Rfam's summary of the family: Transfer RNA (tRNA) molecules are approximately 80 nucleotides in length. Their secondary structure includes four short double-helical elements and three loops (D, anti-codon, and T loops). Further hydrogen bonds mediate the characteristic L-shaped molecular structure. tRNAs have two regions of fundamental functional importance: the anti-codon, which is responsible for specific mRNA codon recognition, and the 3' end, to which the tRNAs corresponding amino acid is attached (by aminoacyl-tRNA synthetases). tRNAs cope with the degeneracy of the genetic code in two manners: having more than one tRNA (with a specific anti-codon) for a particular amino acid; and 'wobble' base-pairing, i.e. permitting non-standard base-pairing at the 3rd anti-codon position. The record is from Rfam. NCBI's taxonomy places the organism in Eukaryota, Metazoa, Nematoda, Chromadorea, Rhabditida, Rhabditidae.